CCUCUUAUCCCACAUCCUGUUAGAUCUGAAACCCUCCAAUAACCAUAUUGUCCAAGCUACACACAAUGUGUUCCUAAUUCCUAGAAUGGAAUUCACUGCAAUCUGGCUUUUAGAGCAGUACAUUUGGAUAUCCAGUGAACCAACCAUAGAAACAUUCUGGCAAGGUUUGCCAUCACAAGGGGUUACUAUCUAUCAAAAUCUUACAAUGUAUUUAAUGAAACCUAGUGGACUGCAUGCUUAUAGACAAGCUUUCAGGAUCAUGAAGACAUGGGCUGAGAGGGACGUUUGAAGGAAAAGAAGACUAACUGUGUGCUAUAAGGAAAGAAAGUCAAUCUAGCGGGAAGAACAGGGUGAAGGUUAAUUUCAUGUGUCAACUUGGCUAGGCUAUGGUGCCCACUCAUUUGGUCAAACACUAGUCUACAUGAGGCUGUGAAGGUAUUUGGUAGAUGUGAUUAACAUUUACAAUCAGUUGACUUUAGGUAAAGAAGGUUUUCCUCAAUCAUGCCUCAUCAAAUCAGUUGAAUCUCUUAAAAGCAAAAACUGACGUUUCCCAGAAAAGAAGGAAUUCUGCCUCAAAACCGUAAACGUGGGAAUCCUGCCUGAGUUUCCAGCCUGUCCUUUGGACUUCAGACUUGCCAACCCCCACAAUCAUCAACUUCAGAUUAUGAGAAAAUGCAUCCUCUGCGUUGGCAUAGCGGAAGACAGUUCAGGACUGUUCCAGAAGAUGAAGGAGGCACAAGGCUGUGCAGCUUUUAAGGCAUAGAGCCGACCUGGAACCUGACUACAAUAAUUCCCCUCUUUCUGUUCUGCACAUGGAAACGUUCAACAGUCAGCAAAGAGGACACCCGUUUAGCCAUGGUUCAGUCAAUCAGUGUACACGUGUAAAGGGAAAUCAGCAUGUGAGACGUUACUUGCAGAAUUGUUGCUGUAAUGUGAAGUUAAAUUUCACCUUUGGGAAAGAAGUAAUGAAGGGCACGGAAAGGCCUUUAACUCCUUUACAUCAAUCCUGAGCACAUAGAAAUGGAAAUUACAACCAGUUACAAUGACUCGCUAAAAGACCUGGCCUUGGAAAAAAAGAAAGAAAGAAACCUCGAUUAGUUUGUCCUGGAAAUAAAAAGCUGGAAAGAGAUGUAGUGUUCUGUGAUACAAAAACUGGACUGCAGAGACUUGCUGGUAAUUUAAAUCAUCACCCUCUUCCCCCCCUAAAAGGAGGGAUGGUAAAACCUUGGGGUGUUUACAACUACAGAGAUGCAUUAAAAACAUUUAACUUGGAAUUCUCUGUUCUGACUCCCUUAGAACAUCACAUAUCUCUUAAAAUUGAUGAAUUGACUUAAUGUGGCCUUGUCUAAAAGCAGAGAUUUACGGGUUGAGUUCCUUUUUUUGGGGGGGAGUGGUGGUUGAGUUCUUUCUUUGUUGGUGCUGAUGUUACAUCAGACCCAGAAGGAGCCAAGACAGGUUCCAAUGUGGUGCCAAGUCCCUCAUUUCACAGAGGACAGUACCAUGGUUCCAGACUCUGCUGGGUGCCUAGUGUCAUUUCAAACCCUUUG
Long non-coding RNA from Camelus dromedarius (Arabian camel), 1547 nucleotides. RefSeq lists it as uncharacterized. NCBI's taxonomy places the organism in Eukaryota, Metazoa, Chordata, Mammalia, Artiodactyla, Camelidae. The transcript has 3 exons. The record is from RefSeq and is a predicted model, not a curated record.